AUACUAAAUAGAGUGUUUUAAUACAUACUUGACAGGAUUAAGUUUAUAUAUUUUGACACUAAAACCACAGUAAUUUUUUUAUAACCAUGGAAACAUUUUUUAAUGGCUCAUUUGAGAGAUUGGAAAGAAAACCUUACCAAUUCACCCUAACUUCAUCAGUGGUUACAUUUCAGGUUAUGAGUCACUCUAAUCUCUUUAUGUACACCCCAAAAUUUUACAGUUAAUAUUACUUCUACUUACAGAUAAAUUAAGCUCAGACAUUUAAAAAUUGAACAAAAAUGCAAAAAGAAGAGUAAGGCAGAUGGAAACUAUACAGACUGUAACGUUUGGUGAUUAGGAAAUCACUUAUGAGUUACUGAGAGAGAAUGUUGAGAAAGGUGCCAGAUCACAUGGUACUAUAAAAUAGAGAAAAAGAAGCAGAAACUCACAGCUCUUCCUGCAAAAUAUUUGGUGACUGAAGAAAGGUGAUAGAGGAAAGUAGCUUGAAAGUAAUCAAGAUCAGGGUAAGAAAUUUCAUUUAGAAUGAAGAGACAUGAAUUUACUAUUAUAGACAAAGGAAAAGGGUCAGUACAGAAGGAUAACUAGCCUGUGGAUGAAGAGAGGAUAGUUGCUCAAAGUCUAAGAGAAUGUAGACAAUGACAAAUCAUGGUUUCAGACGUGGAUUGUAACGUUAACCAGAGAGAGAUGCUUCUUCAAAACAAAAGGAAAUAAAGAGUGUGCUUAUACAUAUAUGGAAAAAAAUGUGGACAUGAAGAAGGAAAAAAAAUGAGCAGUGAUCUGAUCCAUCAGGACAUUCAAAUUUUCUGAGUCAGUGACUUCGAGUGGCAGAAAAUUUAAGAGAUGCAGUAUCUUCGGAGAGUAAUGACAUAUAAUCCACACAUUCAUGGAAGAAUGGAGACCUGAAGUCUUUGAAAGGGAGUAAGCAGAGAGGAAAAUAGAUGUGAACAGAUGAUCUACCUUAUUUUGGAAUUAAGAAACACUUGAAGAUUAUUCUCAGAAAUGCCAUAAGGGAUAUUUAAAAAUCUUGGAGCACACAAGAAGUACAAGAGGAAUGAAAAUGUCAUGUCUUAAUUUUCCAAAAAAGAGAAUAUUUUAGUUUUUAGUAUAUAAAGGCAGAUUAACAAACCUUCACACAAAUCUAAAUUUUAUUACUAAAUUAAUUGAUUACACUUUGUGUUUACUAGGUCACAGGGAAUUUCAGUGGGUUUACUCUGCAAAAGAUUUCAUGUGAAAUACAUUUUUCUAUUCUGAAAGGUUUUUCAAGAUUUUCAAGGCAACUAAGAAGUUUUCUAAAAAGACAGUGUUUGUAAUACAGGCUCUAUAGAAAGCAUCGUUGUGGAGGCCUCAGGAAACUUACAAUCAUGGCAGAAGGCGAAGGGAAGCAGGCACAUCUUACGUGGCUGGAGAAGGAGGAAGAGAGAGCAGAGGAAGGUGCUACACAUUUUUAAACAACCGGAUCUCAUGAGAACUCACUCACUAUCACAAGAACAGCAGGGAAAUCCACCCCCAUGAUUCUAUCACCUCCCACUAGCCCUCUCCUCCUUCAACACUGGGGAUUACAACUCCACAUAAGGUUUGGGCAGGGACACACAUCCAAACCAUAUCAUCACUAAUUAAUGUUUCUGAAAGCUAGAGUUACAUUACAACCACCUGAGGAGCUUUUAGAAAAUUACAGAUCCCUGAGCUUCCAUCUAGAUUGAUUAAAUAAAAAU
RNAcentral lists this long non-coding RNA (1712 nucleotides) under Homo sapiens (human). Its description in RNAcentral is "PREDICTED lncRNA (TCONS_00064243)". The record is from RNAcentral. Lineage: Eukaryota; Metazoa; Chordata; Mammalia; Primates; Hominidae.